CCUAUUGUUUCACCAAUAGUAGCCUACGAGCAGGUGCGCUUGUACAAGGGUAUCAAGCUGCUCGGACAAGGUAGCCCUCCCGAAAGGGUAAGAAUAAACCGUGAGGGAAAUUCAAAGGUCGCAAGCAUUAUGCGGUCGGGGAG
Non-coding RNA from Bacteroides fluxus YIT 12057, 143 nucleotides. NCBI's taxonomy places the organism in Bacteria, Pseudomonadati, Bacteroidota, Bacteroidia, Bacteroidales, Bacteroidaceae. The record is from Rfam.